Molecule: ribosomal RNA, 427 nt
Filed under: Lacticaseibacillus paracasei
Lineage: Bacteria; Bacillati; Bacillota; Bacilli; Lactobacillales; Lactobacillaceae
Description: bacterial SSU rRNA
Rfam family: Bacterial small subunit ribosomal RNA
Source: RNAcentral
GCACAAGCGGUGGAGCAUGUGGUUUAAUUCGAAGCAACGCGAAGAACCUUACCAGGUCUUGACAUCUUUUGAUCACCUGAGAGAUCAGGUUUCCCCUUCGGGGGCAAAAUGACAGGUGGUGCAUGGUUGUCGUCAGCUCGUGUCGUGAGAUGUUGGGUUAAGUCCCGCAACGAGCGCAACCCUUAUGACUAGUUGCCAGCAUUUAGUUGGGCACUCUAGUAAGACUGCCGGUGACAAACCGGAGGAAGGUGGGGAUGACGUCAAAUCAUCAUGCCCCUUAUGACCUGGGCUACACACGUGCUACAAUGGAUGGUACAACGAGUUGCGAGACCGCGAGGUCAAGCUAAUCUCUUAAAGCCAUUCUCAGUUCGGACUGUAGGCUGCAACUCGCCUACACGAAGUCGAAUCGCAGAUCGCAGCUGAUCGC